Molecule: long non-coding RNA, 1008 nt
Organism: Dermochelys coriacea (leatherback sea turtle)
Lineage: Eukaryota; Metazoa; Chordata; Testudines; Dermochelyidae
Exons: 3
Source: RefSeq, a predicted model, not a curated record
AAGAGCAAGGAUUUAGGGCACCAGCCCUGGGGUGGGGCAGAGCAGAGCAAUAAACAGUCUAGGAAGCUCAGCCCCUCAGGAAGGUCAGGGAAGUGAAGACUCCAAUGUCCUAUCUCUGAAGGAUGGUUUUCACUUUCAUUGAUACCUGAGGAAGUGGACAUCCUCAUAAGUGAGCACUGAAAUACUAAUCCUUGCUGGUAUUGUGCGUCCACCACAAAUCCCCUGGUUUAUGAAGUAGUUGGACGCUCCUGAGACCCUGAAGAUUCAAGUUAUUGGCAAAACUAUCUGGACUUCAAUGGGAGCAGGUUUAACAGACACAAUAGUCAAUUCCAGAAGGUUUCAGUGGACCAUGUAGUAACUUAAUGUCACUAGAGCAUGAAAGAAAAAAGGAAAACAGCUGGGAGAAAAAGUGCUGCUUUAAUGUGGAGUGGGCUUCCUCUCUAAAGGCACAUUAUAUCAAGAAACUGACAUCUGGCAUUUUCCACAUUUGGAUCGAAAGGGAUAUGUGAAGGCUUUGUGGAAUCAAUGCAGCAAGUUGUAACUGGUAUAUAUCAAAAGAAAAGUCUCUGCCUAACAAGUGCAUGGAGGAAAUACGGACAGAAUGUUUUGAAGUUGCUCCUGGGUUAUUUACAACACAAGUUUGGAUUAAAAGAUGGGUUUUAAAGAAUUCUUAAUGCUUUGCUCCACUCCUAAAAAUAUUCAGCUUGUAACAAUGCUGAAAUAGACAUUUGUACAGUGGUGAUUCUUCUAGUGUGAUAAAUCCCAUUUUAUGUUCCACAGACCUAAGGUCUCCAUGAUCUCUUUAUCUAUGCUUGUUAACCAGGCUUCAAGAAAAUUUACAAAAGGAAAAUCUAAAGUAAUAUUGUUUUUGACUGAGUUCCCUCCUGUUAGCUCUGAUUAAAAAAACACUUGUUUUUUCUCUAUAUUUAUAGCUUUCAUUUUUGUUGAUAAAUGUUCCUUUGCAGUCACAGGCUUGAUAUUACUAAUAAAUGUAGUCAGUGAAUAUGA